CAACCCGCUGUCAACUCGCUGACCACCGCCACAUCCGUGAUAUUAAAAAAACCCCAGAUAAUCAUGGGAUUAUGCACACCGAGGAAGAGCCAGCCAGGGCUAAGUAGUCUCCUGGAGAACAUCGUUCAGUGGCCGAGCAAGCGGACCGUCUACAAGGACAGGAUCGCUCAGCGGUCACCGAUCCAAGAAGGAACCACGCUCGUUCCGGCUUGACUGGGUUAUGACAGUGAGAACCCACCAGACAAUAGCGGCCAUUGCUACAAAUCUACCGAUUUUUAUCAUAAAAAGUGUGCAAAUAGAGUGCAACUCAGUGUUUAAACACAUACGCCUUGGAACUUCGGUAUAAAUAAGCUAUUUCAGAAGCGUUUAAAAGAUAACAAAAGUUCUGCACAAGGUAACAACUUUGCUCCCAUGUGAGCUUACAAAUAAUGACAAACAAUAUGUGUGGUUCAGAAAAAUAAGUUCCGAGUUAUUUAAUUAUUUCCAAACUAGGCCUAGUGAAUCUUUACAUCUUAUGUUUGUGUGCAAUAAAGUUAGACCAGA
Molecule: long non-coding RNA, 543 nt
Organism: Homalodisca vitripennis (glassy-winged sharpshooter)
Lineage: Eukaryota; Metazoa; Arthropoda; Insecta; Hemiptera; Cicadellidae
Exons: 2
Source: RefSeq, a predicted model, not a curated record